UGGGGAAUGUUGCACAAUGGGCGCAAGCCUGAUGCAGCCAUGCCGCGUGUGUGAAGAAGGCCUUCGGGUUGUAAAGCACUUUCAGCGGGGAGGAAGGCGAUAAGGUUAAUAACCUCAUCGAUUGACGUUACCCGCAGAAGAAGCACCGGCUAACUCCGUGCCAGCAGCCGCGGUAAUACGGAGGGUGCAAGCGUUAAUCGGAAUUACUGGGCGUAAAGCGCACGCAGGCGGUCUGUCAAGUCGGAUGUGAAAUCCCCGGGCUCAAACUGGGAACUGCAUUCGAAACUGGCAGGCUAGAGUCUUGUAGAGGGGGGUAGAAUUCCAGGUGUAGCGGUGAAAUGCGUAGAGAUCUGGAGGAAUACCGGUGGCGAAGGCGGCCCCCUGGACAAAGACUGACGCUCAGGUGCGAAAGCGUGGGGAGCAAACAGG
Molecule: ribosomal RNA, 429 nt
Filed under: Chloroflexota bacterium
Lineage: Bacteria; Bacillati; Chloroflexota
Description: Chloroflexi bacterium partial 16S ribosomal RNA
Rfam family: Bacterial small subunit ribosomal RNA
Source: RNAcentral